Molecule: ribosomal RNA, 373 nt
Filed under: uncultured soil bacterium
Lineage: Bacteria
Description: bacterial SSU rRNA
Rfam family: Bacterial small subunit ribosomal RNA
Source: RNAcentral
AGAUUGAACGCUGGCGGCAUGCUUUACACAUGCAAGUCGAACGGUAACAGGCCGCAAGGUGCUGACGAGUGGCGAACGGGUGAGUAGUGCAUCGGAACGUGCCCAGUCGUGGGGGAUAACGCAGCGAAAGCUGUGCUAAUACCGCAUACGAUCUAUGGAUGAAAGCGGGGGACCGAAAGGCCUCGCGCGAUUGGAGCGGCCGAUGUCAGAUUAGCUAGUUGGUGGGGUAAAGGCCACCGAGGCGACGAUCUGUAGCUGGUCUGAGAGGACGACCAGCCACACUGGAACUGAGACACGGUCCAGACUCCUACGGGAGGCAGCAGUGGGGAAUUUUGGACAAUGGGCGCAAGCCUGAUCCAGCAAUGCCGCGUGC